AGUCAGACAAGCUAUCGCCUCCUUUCUUGGCAACAGGUUUCCGCACUGAAGGCGUCUGCUUCUCUCGAACAUUUCUUGCUCUGAAAUGACGACGAGAUGGUCGCUAGAAUGUGUUUGGGGGCCGUGGAGGUGCUUUGGGUUUUCGCGGAUCUCUUCUGAUCCCCGUGACUUUAAGUGCAUGCUGCGCCGUCCGUCAUCUCGUGACGUCUCGGUGCCCGGAACAGCUCUGACUAUUUUGUUUUCCGGGCACUAGCGACAGGCGAGAGAAGUUUGAUUCUCUCCUAACCGACGCCGCCGGCCGUCGUGCUGGACUCGGAUUGAUCGGAUAUCAUCGAGCCGCCGGCGUGCUGGAAGCUGCGUGGGAGAAAUGAAGCUCAUGACGGCGCCCAGUUAAAAACCAAAGCAAGUGCGCUCGCAUAGCGCUGCUUGCUUUUGUUUCAUAUA
Molecule: unclassified non-coding RNA, 444 nt
Filed under: Rossmaessleria scherzeri olcesei
Lineage: Eukaryota; Metazoa; Mollusca; Gastropoda; Stylommatophora; Helicidae
Description: internal transcriber spacer 2
Source: RNAcentral